Molecule: ribosomal RNA, 377 nt
Filed under: uncultured bacterium
Lineage: Bacteria
Description: bacterial SSU rRNA
Rfam family: Bacterial small subunit ribosomal RNA
Source: RNAcentral
UACGUAGGGGGCAAGCGUUGUCCGGAAUGAUUGGGCGUAAAGGGCGCGUAGGCGGCCUUCUAAGUCCGAUGUGAAAGUCCUGCUUUUAAGGUGGGAAUUGCAUUGGAAACUGGAGGGCUUGAGUGCAGGAGAGGUAAGUGGAAUUCCCGGUGUAGCGGUGGAAAUGCGUAGAGAUCGGGAGGAACACCAGUGGCGAAGGCGACUUACUGGACUAUAACUGACGCUGAGGCGCGAAAGUGUGGGGAGCAAACAGGAUUAGAUACCCUGGUAGUCCACACUGUAAACGAUGAAUGCUAGGUGUAGGAGGUAUCGACCCCUUCUGUGCCGGAGUCAACACAAUAAGCAUUCCGCCUGGGGAGUACGGCCGCAAGGUUGAA